UAGAGUUUGAUCAUGGCUCAGGAUGAACGCUAGCGACAGGCCUAACACAUGCAAGUCGAGGGGCAUCGGGGCGAGGAGCAAUCCUUGCCGCCGGCGACCGGCGCACGGGUGAGUAACGCGUAUGCGACCUGCCCGUUGCAGGGGGAUAAUCGGGAGAAAUCCCGUCUAAUACCGCGUAAUGCCGCGGGGCUGCAUGGCCCUGCGGCCAAAGGGAGCGAUUCCGGCAACGGAUGGGCAUGCGUGACAUUAGCUAGUUGGCGGGGCAACGGCCCACCAAGGCGACGAUGUCUAGGGGUUCUGAGAGGAAGGUCCCCCACACUGGUACUGAGACACGGACCAGACUCCUACGGGAGGCAGCAGUGAGGAAUAUUGGUCAAUGGGCGCGAGCCUGAACCAGCCAAGUCGCGUGAGGGAUGACGGCCCUACGGGUUGUAAACCUCUUUUGUCGGGGAGCAAAUUCCGCCACGUGUGGCGGAGUCGAGAGUACCCGAAGAAAAAGCAUCGGCUAACUCCGUGCCAGCAGCCGCGGUAAUACGGAGGAUGCGAGCGUUAUCCGGAUUUAUUGGGUUUAAAGGGUGCGUAGGCGGACUGUCAAGUCAGCGGUAAAAUACGGGGGCUCAACCUCCGCCCGCCGUUGAAACUGACGGUCUUGAGUGGGCGAGAAGUAUGCGGAAUGCGUGGUGUAGCGGUGAAAUGCAUAGAUAUCACGCAGAACUCCGAUUGCGAAGGCAGCAUACCGGCGCCCAACUGACGCUGAAGCACGAAAGCGUGGGUAUCGAACAGGAUUAGAUACCCUGGUAGUCCACGCAGUAAACGAUGAAUACUAGCUGUCCGGGGCGAAUGAGCCCUGGGUGGCACAGCGAAAGCGUUAAGUAUUCCACCUGGGGAGUACGCCGGCAACGGUGAAACUCAAAGGAAUUGACGGGGGCCCGCACAAGCGGAGGAACAUGUGGUUUAAUUCGAUGAUACGCGAGGAACCUUACCCGGGCUCAAACGACACAGGAACGUACCUGAAAGGGUUCGGCUCUACGGAGCCUGUGUCGAGGUGCUGCAUGGUUGUCGUCAGCUCGUGCCGUGAGGUGUCGGCUUAAGUGCCAUAACGAGCGCAACCCCCAUCGACAGUUGCUAACAGGUCAGGCUGAGGACUCUGUCGAGACUGCCGGCGCAAGCUGCGAGGAAGGCGGGGAUGACGUCAAAUCAGCACGGCCCUUACGUCCGGGGCGACACACGUGUUACAAUGGCAGGUACAGCGGGAAGCCACCUGGCGACAGGGAGCGGAACCCGAAAGCCUGUCUCAGUUCGGAUUGGAGUCUGCAACCCGACUCCAUGAAGCUGGAUUCGCUAGUAAUCGCGCAUCAGCCACGGCGCGGUGAAUACGUUCCCGGGCCUUGUACACACCGCCCGUCAAGCCAUGGAAGCCGGGGGUGCCUGAAGUGCGCUGCCGCGAGGAGCGCCCUAGGGUAAAACCGGUGACUGGGGCUAAGUCGUAAUCAAGGUAGCCGUA
RNAcentral lists this ribosomal RNA (1504 nucleotides) under uncultured bacterium. RNAcentral describes it as "16S ribosomal RNA". It matches the Rfam family "Bacterial small subunit ribosomal RNA". The record is from RNAcentral.